GGUUUUAUAGUUUAAAAAAAACUUUAAAUUGCAAAUUUAAUAAUGAUUUCAUUUAAAUCUAAAACUU
RNAcentral lists this transfer RNA (67 nucleotides) under Oncopsis serrulota. RNAcentral describes it as "tRNA-Cys". The record is from RNAcentral. Lineage: Eukaryota; Metazoa; Arthropoda; Insecta; Hemiptera; Cicadellidae. RNAcentral also lists the same sequence under 3 other names.